AGACUUUGAUUCUGGCUCAGAUUGAACGCUGGCGGCAGGCCUAACACAUGCAAGUCGAGCGGCAGCGGGUCCUUCGGGAUGCCGGCGAGCGGCGGACGGGUGAGUAAUGCCUAGGAAUCUGCCUGGUAGUGGGGGAUAACUCGGGGAAACUCGAGCUAAUACCGCAUACGUCCUACGGGAGAAAGCGGGGGAUCUUCGGACCUCGCGCUACCAGAUGAGCCUAGGUCGGAUUAGCUAGUUGGUGAGGUAAAGGCUCACCAAGGCGACGAUCCGUAGCUGGUCUGAGAGGAUGAUCAGCCACACUGGAACUGAGACACGGUCCAGACUCCUACGGGAGGCAGCAGUGGGGAAUAUUGGACAAUGGGCGAAAGCCUGAUCCAGCCAUGCCGCGUGUGUGAAGAAGGUCUUCGGAUUGUAAAGCACUUUAAGUUGGGAGGAAGGGCAGUAAGUUAAUACCUUGCUGUUUUGACGUUACCGACAGAAUAAGCACCGGCUAACUUUCGUGCCAGCAGCCGCGGUAAUACGAAGGGUGCAAGCGUUAAUCGGAAUUACUGGGCGUAAAGCGCGCGUAGGUGG
Molecule: ribosomal RNA, 576 nt
Filed under: uncultured bacterium
Lineage: Bacteria
Description: bacterial SSU rRNA
Rfam family: Bacterial small subunit ribosomal RNA
Source: RNAcentral